This 242-nucleotide non-coding RNA is filed under the name Paenibacillus sp. RNAcentral's name for it is "T-box sequence". It matches the Rfam family "T-box leader". Rfam says of the family: Uncharged tRNA acts as the effector for transcription antitermination of genes in the T-box leader family. T-boxes are found upstream of many aminoacyl-tRNA synthetase genes and some amino acid biosynthetic genes usually in Gram-positive bacteria. The anticodon of a specific tRNA base pairs to a specifier sequence within the T-box motif, and the NCCA acceptor tail of the tRNA base pairs to a conserved bulge in the T-box antiterminator hairpin. Lineage: Bacteria; Bacillati; Bacillota; Bacilli; Caryophanales; Paenibacillaceae. RNAcentral also lists the same sequence under 1 other name. The record is from RNAcentral.
AUAUUGGCGUUGAAGAGGAGCAGUAAGCCGCAUCGCGUGGACUUAGAGAGCCGGCAUCAGUUGGUGCAAGCCGGACCCGCAGCGUGCCGAAUCUCGCCUCGGAGCCGCAAGGUCAAUUCCGGAUUCGGAGCAGCCUUGCCGCAUGGUCCGCGUUAAGGACUUCAUGAGUGGGUGUCCGCGGCAAAGCAUGCCGGGCGCCAACUAGGGUGGUACCACGGGAAUUCAAACCUCUCGUCCCUAGC